GUGUCCCCGAACCAAAUCCACUCCGAUUUGGCUCAAUCUUUGCUCCUCGCGUAGACCCACCUCCGUAUAAAUACUCCCUGUGUCCUCCUCGUACGAUUUUUCGCCAAACGGAGAUCUCCCGUGCCCUAGGGCGUCACCCCGAUCUCGCCGGAGUUCCAGUCCAGGAGCUUCAUCGCCGGUGUGUUCCGUCGCCACCAGGAGGACGAGGUCCGAGUUCCGCCGGAGUUCUCCGACGCCGCCGCGCCAUUGUUGGAGAACCGCAGCCAGCAGAGGCCACCCCCGUCGCCCCGGAUGCCUCCAAUCUCCCUGCCGUUGUGCGCCUCUUCCUCUGGUCGGACCGCCGUCGCUGGAGUUUGCUCAUAGCCACCACCGUCGUCUCCACCGAGCCGCCCGCGCCUUUCUUCUCCAACUCCGGCGACCACACAGCCCUCUGUUUUCCGAUUGUUCGGAGUGUGAAGCGGAUCGGAAUUAAGCGUUAGAGUACUUCAACACCGUUCAAGGCAAGUUUGCACUUUUGAUUUUGCUUAUCCUAUAUUCUGCUAUGCAUGUGUGAUUUUUAUGCUAUGGCAUGUGCUUGGUUUGAUCUGUAUGUUCUCUGUUGUCAUAUUCUGAUAUUGAUUGUGUUGUGUGAUGGUGUGAUCAACUUGCUAUGGUAGACGUGGGCAUGUGUCGCGUGAUGUUUGGAAGUGGUGAGCGCUUAUAGCUGUAGGCUCGGGGCUUUUUCUCAGGUGAAUGCGUCAAUGGUUGAGCGCUCUAUUGUCCCUAGAGAAUGCGCCAUGACUGAGCGCACUUGAGUUGUCGGGGCUUUUUCUCAUGUGAAUGUGUCACUGGCUGAGCGCUCUAUUGUCCCUAGAGAAUGCGCCAGGACUGAGCGCACUUGAGACAUCUUGAAGAUCUUUAUCAUCUGUGUUGCUUGCACCUUUCCUAUGUCAUGGAGGUAG
This is a long non-coding RNA of Triticum aestivum (bread wheat), 941 nucleotides long. RefSeq lists it as uncharacterized. Lineage: Eukaryota; Viridiplantae; Streptophyta; Magnoliopsida; Poales; Poaceae. The transcript has 3 exons. The record is from RefSeq and is a predicted model, not a curated record.